This 338-nucleotide ribosomal RNA is filed under the name uncultured bacterium. Its description in RNAcentral is "bacterial SSU rRNA". It matches the Rfam family "Bacterial small subunit ribosomal RNA", at positions 32 to 352 of the family's 1533-position model. The record is from RNAcentral.
AAUCAACGCUGGCGGCGUGCCUAACACAUGCAAGUCGCGCGCGAAAGGGGGGCAACUCCCAAGUAGAGCGGCGAACGGGUGAGUAACACGUGGGUAAUCUACCUUCGAGUGGGGAACAACACCGGGAAACUGGUGCUAAUUCCGCAUAACAUCGUCGGGGCUUCGUUCUNACGCUCAAAGCUGGGGAUCGCAAGACCUAGCGCUUGAAGAUGAGCCCCGCGUCCGAUAGUCUAGUUGGCGGGGUAAGUGCCCACCAAGGCUUCGAUCGGUAGCCGGCCUGAGAGGGCGGACGGCCACACUGGAACUGAGGCACGGUCCAGACUCCUACGGGAGGCAGC